This 253-nucleotide ribosomal RNA is filed under the name uncultured bacterium. RNAcentral's name for it is "partial 16S ribosomal RNA". It matches the Rfam family "Bacterial small subunit ribosomal RNA", at positions 524 to 776 of the family's 1533-position model. The record is from RNAcentral.
UACGUAGGGUGCAAGCGUUAAUCGGAAUUACUGGGCGUAAAGCGUGCGCAGGCGGUGAUGUAAGACAGUUGUGAAAUCCCCGGGCUCAACCUGGGAACUGCAUCUGUGACUGCAUCGCUGGAGUACGGCAGAGGGGGAUGGAAUUCCGCGUGUAGCAGUGAAAUGCGUAGAGAUGCGGAGGAACACCGAUGGCGAAGGCAGCCCCCUGGGCUAGCACUGACGCUCAGGCACGAAAGCGUGGGGAGCAAACAGG